CCUACGGGAGGCAGCAGUGGGGAAUAUUGCACAAUGGGGGAAACCCUGAUGCAGCGACGCCGCGUGAGUGAAGAAGUAAUUCGUUAUGUAAAGCUCUAUCAGCAGGGAAGAAAAUGACGGUACCUGAGUAAGAAGCCCCGGCUAACUACGUGCCAGCAGCCGCGGUACUACGUAGGGGGCAAGCGUUAUCCGGAUUUACUGGGUGUAAAGGGAGCGUAGACGGCAGUGCAAGUCUGGAGUGAAAGGCGGGGGCUCAACCCCCGGACUGCUCUGGAAACUGUACGGCUGGAGUGCAGGAGAGGUAAGUGGAAUGCCUAGUGUAGCGGUGAAAUGCGUAGAUAUGAGGAGGAACACCAGUGGCGAAGGCGGCUUACUGGACUGUAACUGACGUUGAGGCUCGAAAGCGUGGGGAGCAAACAGGAUUAGAUACCCGUGUAGUC
RNAcentral lists this ribosomal RNA (440 nucleotides) under uncultured bacterium. Its description in RNAcentral is "partial 16S ribosomal RNA". It matches the Rfam family "Bacterial small subunit ribosomal RNA", at positions 338 to 795 of the family's 1533-position model. The record is from RNAcentral.